RNAcentral lists this ribosomal RNA (301 nucleotides) under uncultured bacterium. RNAcentral's name for it is "partial 16S ribosomal RNA". It matches the Rfam family "Bacterial small subunit ribosomal RNA", at positions 509 to 807 of the family's 1533-position model. The record is from RNAcentral.
CAGUCGCCACGGGAAUACGGAGGGAGCUAGCGUUGUUCGGAAUUACUGGGCGUAAAGCGCGCGUAGGCGGUUACUCAAGUCAGAGGUGAAAGCCCGGGGCUCAACCCCGGAACUGCCUUUGAAACUAGGUGACUAGAAUCUUGGAGAGGUCAGUGGAAUUCCGAGUGUAGAGGUGAAAUUCGUAGAUAUUCGGAAGAACACCAGUGGCGAAGGCGACUGACUGGACAAGUAUUGACGCUGAGGUGCGAAAGCGUGGGGAGCAAACAGGAUUAGAUACCCGAGUAGUCCCUGUCUCUUAUAC